GAUCAUGGCUCAGGACGAACGCUGGCGGCGUGCUUAACACAUGCAAGUCGAACGAAAAUACCAAGCUUGCUUGGUUGAUUAGUGGCGAACGGGUGAGUAACACGUGAGUAACCUGCCCCUUACUUUCCUGGAUAACUGCUCGAAAGGGUAGCUAAUACGGGAUAUUCUGACCGGCCUGCAUGGGUUGGUUUGGAAAGGUUGUUUUUCUGGUAAGGGAUGGGCUCGCGGCCUAUCAGCUUGUUGGUGGGGUGAUGG
This 255-nucleotide ribosomal RNA is filed under the name uncultured bacterium. RNAcentral describes it as "partial 16S ribosomal RNA". It matches the Rfam family "Bacterial small subunit ribosomal RNA", at positions 15 to 263 of the family's 1533-position model. The record is from RNAcentral.